CCUACGGGGGGCAGCAGUGGGGAAUAUUGGACAAUGGGCGAAAGCCUGAUCCAGCCAUGCCGCGUGUGUGAAGAAGGCCUUCGGGUUGUAAAGCACUUUCAGUGGGGAAGAAAGCCUUGGGGCUAAUACCCUCGAGGAAGGACAUCACCCACAGAAGAAGCACCGGCUAACUCCGUGCCAGCAGCCGCGGUAAUACGGAGGGUGCGAGCGUUAAUCGGAAUUACUGGGCGUAAAGCGCGCGUAGGCGGUCUGAUAAGCCGGUUGUUGAAAGCCCCGGGCUCAACCUGGGAACGGCAUCCGGAACUGUCAGGCGAGAGUGCAGGAGAGGAAGGUAGAAUUCCCGGUGUAGCGGUGAAAUGCGUAGAGAUCGGGAGGAAUACCAGUGGCGAAGGCGGCCUUCUGGACUGACACUGACGCUGAGGUGCGAAAGCGUGGGUAGCAAACAGGAUUAGAUACCCGAGUAGUC
RNAcentral lists this ribosomal RNA (466 nucleotides) under Vreelandella stevensii. Its description in RNAcentral is "partial 16S ribosomal RNA". It matches the Rfam family "Bacterial small subunit ribosomal RNA", at positions 338 to 795 of the family's 1533-position model. Lineage: Bacteria; Pseudomonadati; Pseudomonadota; Gammaproteobacteria; Oceanospirillales; Halomonadaceae. The record is from RNAcentral.